Nippostrongylus brasiliensis is the source of this 72-nucleotide non-coding RNA. Lineage: Eukaryota; Metazoa; Nematoda; Chromadorea; Rhabditida; Heligmosomidae. The record is from Rfam.
UCAUCGGUAGCUUAAUGGUUAGAGCAGUCUGCCGGAAACAGAAAGACGCGGGUUCAAUUCCCGUCCGAUGCC